RNAcentral lists this long non-coding RNA (1454 nucleotides) under Struthio camelus australis. RNAcentral's name for it is "lncRNA (ENSSCUG00000014228.1)". The record is from RNAcentral. Lineage: Eukaryota; Metazoa; Chordata; Aves; Struthioniformes; Struthionidae.
CUCACACUGUGAAUUACACCAGAUACCCACACAUGAAUAAGCAGCCCCACUCCCCCUGCCUGUUUCUCCAUAGGCUCAUUUUUAUAAAACACACGGUCAGAUCUGAGCUGUGCUUUCUGCCACUGGAGCGAAGCAGGAUGAAGCAGAGAACAAAGGAAGUUUCUCUCCUUGGCUUAAGCAGGCUCUGUCUGUUGGGCUCUGUGCGAGAAUGAAGACCCAGACAUUUGCAGUAACCAGCACACUGCAGCCUCAGGGUAAAAAGAGCUGUUCCAUUUUCUUGGAUCCCGUGACCUGACCUCAGGUGAGACUAAUAAGUGCUAAGCACUGGAACAUUUGCAAGUCAGGAGUGCUAGCUUUUCACCCAGUUCCUAGGGGUGCAUCCUCCUGUCUUGGCCAUGCCAAAAAUCCAUCAUCCGUAAGCAUCCUAACAUGCCAGUACAGUCAGAGUUGGUGGGACUGAUCCACAUUCACUUCUCCUCUCCUUCUCAAGGUGCACGCUUCUAGCACCAUCCACGCUUUGCCUCUUCCCUGAUGUACCCCUCUAUGUUUGUUGGCUCAUGCACGUCCAACAGGGAGACUGAAAAGGGUAUCAGCGGCUACAUAGAAGAGCAAUUGAAGAAAGAAAUGCUCUGGAAACCAUGUUUGUGGAGAACACAGGGAAAAACUGAACUCAUGCAGGUGUUUCUUCAUUUCUAUUGUGAUUCCUCCAGACAGCAAAACAGCACCCUGCUUCUGGGCAUGUUUCAUACAAAGGAAAGUGAAAAGCUUGGCUUUGAAGUCACAGAAAACUCACUGGCCAAGUGCAUCAGCAAUUCACGGAAACACAUAUGAAGGCAUAAAGCAGAGAAUUGGUACAGAUCAGAGAAACUACACAAGCCGCUAUAUCAGUUCAGCUUCAUUUAUUAAAAAGAAUUAACAAGAUACCCUGUAUUGGACUCUCUGCUAUAUUACUUACAGAACAACAGGUCAAAAUUUAUGAGAAACUUCUGCUCCUGCCUUUUGUGGAUGCCAAGGCCUUUAUCCUAGGUGGAUCAUUUAACUCCUUUCAGAUACAACAUUCUAAUUUCAUCCAGCAUGACUGUUAUUCACCUUUAUUUCUUAGAUCAUAUUCACCAUUGUUGCAAUAAUCACUAAUUAUCUAAAAUUCUGAAAACAUAAUUGAAAUAUGACAUUUAUUUCCUUAAAUUUCUUUCUCUGACGAGAAUACUGUGUGAUAUGCAUACACUUCCAACACUAACUGAUUAGCCAAGAUACAUCUUAGCUGAGGAAAAUGGUUUAAAAUAUUUUUUUAUUCUGGCUACGAAGUUCUGCAAUAUUCUUUCACACUCAGUACAAUAAUUUUUAUCCUUGUCGUCUUUGCUUCUCAUUCUCCCCGCAGUCAUUUACUCAACCAUGGGGUUCUGAAGAACGCCUUAGCUAUUAGUCUACAUGAAUAAACUGUUGCUUUCACACCA